Molecule: ribosomal RNA, 695 nt
Filed under: Vibrio cholerae
Lineage: Bacteria; Pseudomonadati; Pseudomonadota; Gammaproteobacteria; Vibrionales; Vibrionaceae
Description: partial 23S ribosomal RNA
Rfam family: Bacterial large subunit ribosomal RNA
Source: RNAcentral
GGACAGUGCCUGGUGGGUAGUUUGACUGGGGCGGUCUCCUCCCAAAGAGUAACGGAGGAGCACGAAGGUGGGCUAAUCACGGUUGGACAUCGUGAGGUUAGUGCAAUGGCAUAAGCCCGCUUAACUGCGAGAAUGACGGUUCGAGCAGGUGCGAAAGCAGGUCAUAGUGAUCCGGUGGUUCUGUAUGGAAGGGCCAUCGCUCAACGGAUAAAAGGUACUCCGGGGAUAACAGGCUGAUACCGCCCAAGAGUUCAUAUCGACGGCGGUGUUUGGCACCUCGAUGUCGGCUCAUCACAUCCUGGGGCUGAAGUCGGUCCCAAGGGUAUGGCUGUUCGCCAUUUAAAGUGGUACGCGAGCUGGGUUUAGAACGUCGUGAGACAGUUCGGUCCCUAUCUGCCGUGGGCGUUGGAAGAUUGAAGGGGGCUGCUCCUAGUACGAGAGGACCGGAGUGGACGAACCUCUGGUGUUCGGGUUGUGUCGCCAGACGCAUUGCCCGGUAGCUAAGUUCGGAAUUGAUAAGCGCUGAAAGCAUCUAAGCGCGAAGCGAGCCCUGAGAUGAGUCUUCCCUGACAGUUUAACUGUCCUAAAGGGUUGUUCGAGACUAGAACGUUGAUAGGCAGGGUGUGUAAGCGUUGUGAGGCGUUGAGCUAACCUGUACUAAUUGCCCGUGAGGCUUAACCAUACAACACCCAAGG